This 424-nucleotide ribosomal RNA is filed under the name uncultured bacterium. RNAcentral describes it as "bacterial SSU rRNA". It matches the Rfam family "Bacterial small subunit ribosomal RNA", at positions 358 to 773 of the family's 1533-position model. The record is from RNAcentral.
GGAAUUGUUCGCAAUGGGCGCAAGCCUGACGACGCAACGCCGCGUGGAGGAUGAAGAUCUUCGGGUCGUAAACUCCUGUCGAAUGGGACGAACGGACCAUGGGCUAACAUCCCGUGGUCGUGACGGUACCGUUAACGGAAACACCGGCUAACUCCGUGCCAGCAGCCGCGGUAAUACGGGGGGGGUAAGCGUUGUUCGGAAUUACUGGGCGUAAAGGGCUCGUAGGCGGCCAACUAAGUCAGACGUGAAAUCCCUCAGCUUAACUGGGGAACUGCGUCUGAUACUGGAUGGCUUGGAUCCGGGAGAGGGAUGCGGAAUUCCAGGUGUAGCGGUGAAAUGCGUAGAUAUCUGGAGGAACACCGGUGGCGAAGGCGGCAUCCUGGACCGGUAUUGACGCUGAGGAGCGAAAGCCAGGGGAGCAAAC